Molecule: ribosomal RNA, 468 nt
Filed under: uncultured bacterium
Lineage: Bacteria
Description: partial 16S ribosomal RNA
Rfam family: Bacterial small subunit ribosomal RNA
Source: RNAcentral
GACGAACGCUGGCGGCGUGCUUAACACAUGCAAGUCGAACGGAAAGGCCCUGCUUUUGUGGGGUGCUCGAGUGGCGAACGGGUGAGUAACACGUGAGUAACCUGCCCUUGACUUUGGGAUAACUUCAGGAAACUGGGGCUAAUACCGGAUAGGAGCUCCUGCUGCAUGGUGGGGGUUGGAAAGUUUCGGCGGUUGGGGAUGGACUCGCGGCUUAUCAGCUUGUUGGUGGGGUAGUGGCUUACCAAGGCUUUGACGGGUAGCCGGCCUGAGAGGGUGACCGGCCCCAUUGGGACUGAGAUACGGCCCAGACUCCUACGGGAGGCAGCUGUGGGGAAUAUUGCACAAUGGGCGGAAGCCUGAUGCAGCAACGCCGCGUGCGGGAUGACGGCCUUCGGGUUGUAAACCGCUUUCGCCUGUGACGAAGCGUGAGUGACGGUAAUGGGUAAAGAAGCACCGGCUAACUACGUG